AAUGAACGCUGGCGGCAGGCCUAACACAUGCAAGUCGAACGGAUCCUUCGGGAUUAGUGGCGGACGGGUGAGUAACGCGUGGGAACAUACCCUUUGGUACGGAAUAGCCUCGGGAAACUGGGAGUAAUACCGUAUGUGGUCGAGAGACGAAAGAUUUAUCGCCAAAGGAUUGGCCCGCGUUGGAUUAGGUAGUUGGUGGGGUAAUGGCCUACCAAGCCGACGAUCCAUAGCUGGUUUGAGAGGAUGAUCAGCCACACUGGGACUGAGACACGGCCCAGACUCCUACGGGAGGCAGCAGUGGGGAAUCUUAGACAAUGGGGGAGACCCUGAUCUAGCCAUGCCGCGUGAUCGAUGAAGGCCUUAGGGUUGUAAAGAUCUUUCAGGUGGGAAGAUAAUGACUGUACCAUCAGAAGAAGCCCCGGCUAACUCCGUGCCAGCCGCCGCGGUAA
This 449-nucleotide ribosomal RNA is filed under the name uncultured bacterium. RNAcentral's name for it is "partial 16S ribosomal RNA". It matches the Rfam family "Bacterial small subunit ribosomal RNA", at positions 29 to 523 of the family's 1533-position model. The record is from RNAcentral.